AAUAGAUACCCGGGUAGUCCACCCGUAACGUUGGAACUAGUUGUGGGUCCUUCCACGGAUUCCGUGACGCAGCUAACGCAUUAAGUUCCCCGCCUGGGGAGUACGGCCGCAAGGCUAAAACUCAAAGGAAUUGACGGGGACCCGCACAAGCGGCGGAGCAUGCGGAUUAAUUCGAUGCAACGCGAAGAACCUUACCAAGGCUUGACAUACACCAGAACACCCUAGAAAUAGGGGACUCUUUGGACACUGGUGAACAGGUGGUGCAUGGUUGUCGUCAGCUCGUGUCGUGAGAUGUUGGGUUAAGUCCCGCAACGAGCGCAACCCUCGUUCUAUGUUGCCAGCACGUAAUGGUGGGAACUCAUGGGAUACUGCCGGGGUCAACUCGGAGGAAGGUGGGGAUGACGUCAAAUCAUCAUGCCCCUUAUGUCUUGGGCUUCACGCAUGCUACAAUGGCCGGUACAAAGGGCUGCAAUACCGUGAGGUGGAGCGAAUCCCAAAAGCCGGUCCCAGUUCGGAUUGAGGUCUGCAACUCGACCUCAUGAA
RNAcentral lists this ribosomal RNA (543 nucleotides) under uncultured bacterium. RNAcentral's name for it is "bacterial SSU rRNA". It matches the Rfam family "Bacterial small subunit ribosomal RNA", at positions 777 to 1324 of the family's 1533-position model. The record is from RNAcentral.